This 460-nucleotide ribosomal RNA is filed under the name uncultured bacterium. RNAcentral's name for it is "partial 16S ribosomal RNA". It matches the Rfam family "Bacterial small subunit ribosomal RNA", at positions 338 to 795 of the family's 1533-position model. The record is from RNAcentral.
CCUACGGGUGGCAGCAGUGAGGAAUAUUGGUCAAUGGGCGUAAGCCUGAACCAGCCAAGUCGCGUGAGGGAUGAAGGUUCUAUGGAUCGUAAACCUCUUUUAUCAGGGAAUAAAGUGCGGGACGUGUCCCCGUAUGUAUGUACCUGAUGAAAAAGGAUCGGCUAACUCCGUGCCAGCAGCCGCGGUAAUACGGAGGAUCCGAGCGUUAUCCGGAUUUAUUGGGUUUAAAGGGUGCGUAGGCGGUCUUGUAAGUCAGCGGUGAAAGUCCGUGGCUCAACCCUGGAACUGCCGUUGAAACUGGGAGGCUUGAGUGUGUGUGAGGCAGGCGGAAUGCGUGGUGUAGCGGUGAAAUGCUUAGAUAGCGCGCAGAACCCCGAUUGCGAAGGCAGCCUGCCGGGCCAUAACUGACGCUGAGGCACGAAAGCGUGGGUAUCAAACAGGAUUAGAUACCCGUGUAGUC